GACUCUUCUGUCAUUUUUUUCCUUCGUCUGUUUAUUGGACUUCUGGUUCUUGUUCUGCUGGUUCUCCUGCUUUACCUCACGCACUCACAAAAAAUCUGCUGGAAGAGGUGCACAGAGUUUGAAACAGUCAACCAGGAUUAACAACACAUGGUGAUGCUUCUGUUUAUGAAAACAUGAGGGGCUCUGAAGACCCUGGAAAAGGUAAAGAAUGUUCACGGUGGUAAUUAAAUAAAAUAAAUUGAUUAAAAACUUUCUUUUUCAGAUGAACCUCAGUGUGAAAACAUUACACCUCUCACCAAUCAUGGAUUGAGACAAUAAGACAAAAUAAAAAGGACAGAACUGUGGAMUUUAUUUGGUCUUUUGUCUUGUCAUGGUGAAACUAUUACAAGUUGUGAUUUACAUCAUUYAUAACUUUAUAAAGUUCUGCUUCAGUUCAGUUCAAGACUGAAUUAGUUUUCGAGCUCAAACACAUUUAAAAGAUGUUCAGCAGGGGUAACACAUCAAAACCAAGAGCCAGAACAGAAUUUUAAAAUUUUUAUUUUGUUGUUGUCAUGUUAUUUCACACCGGCAAUAUAAAGUUAGAGAAUCAUCUUCUGUUAUUCAUAGGUUUUUUUUUUACAAUUGCUAAUUUUAUUGAGAAAAGCGCUGUCACUAGUCAACUUAUUGAAGCUUGUUGCCAGCAUUUGUGUUGAAACUCAAUCAAAACCUUGUUUAAAUAUUUAGCACAAUUAUUAUUGAUGAAAAUUUAUUCUGGGUUUUUUUUUCUGUUCCAGAAUAUGUUGUACAGAAAUAUCAUUUAUACAUGCCACUUUAUGAGUGUAAUGUAUAAUUUAAUCUUUGUAUAUAUUUAAGGUUUUUAAUUUUUAUAUCAUUAAACAAGAUUUGUGUAUUAA
Molecule: long non-coding RNA, 893 nt
Organism: Austrofundulus limnaeus
Lineage: Eukaryota; Metazoa; Chordata; Actinopteri; Cyprinodontiformes; Rivulidae
Exons: 4
Source: RefSeq, a predicted model, not a curated record